Molecule: non-coding RNA, 93 nt
Filed under: human gut metagenome
Also listed under: 1 other name
Description: Glycine riboswitch
Rfam family: Glycine riboswitch aptamer
About the family: This family represents the bacterial glycine riboswitch. Glycine riboswitches usually consist of two metabolite-binding aptamers domains with similar structures in tandem.
Source: RNAcentral
GAUUCUCUGGAGAGUCUCAUAAUGAGCGCCGAAGGUGUACGCAUGCAGGGUCAUAUACUGUAUGUAAUCUCUCAGGCAAAAGGACAGAGCAGA